CCUACGGGUGGCAGCAGUAGGGAAUAUUGCUCAAUGGGGGAAACCCUGAUGCAGCAACGCCGCGUGGGUGAUGAAGUUUUUCGUAUUGUAAACUCCUUUUGUCAGGGAAGAUAAUGACGGUAUCUAAGUAAUAAGCACCGGCUAACUCCGUGCCAGCAGCCGCGGUAAUACGUAGGGGGCAAGCGUUAUUCGGAAUCACUGGGCGUAAAGAGCGCGUAGGCGGGAGAGCAAGUCAGAUGUGAAAUCCUAUGGCUUAACCCUCGGACUGCACUUGAAACUGUUCUGCUAGAGUGUGGGAGAGGUAAGUGGAAUUCCUGGUGUAGCGGUGAAAUGCGUAGAGAUAAAGAGGAAUACUAGUUGCGAAGGCGGCGUGCUGGACCGUAACUGACGCUGAGGCGCGAAAGCGUGGGGAGCAAACAGGAUUAGAUACCCGUGUAGUC
This 440-nucleotide ribosomal RNA is filed under the name uncultured bacterium. RNAcentral describes it as "partial 16S ribosomal RNA". It matches the Rfam family "Bacterial small subunit ribosomal RNA", at positions 338 to 795 of the family's 1533-position model. The record is from RNAcentral.